Molecule: unclassified non-coding RNA, 377 nt
Filed under: soil metagenome
Description: partial contains 5.8S ribosomal RNA, internal transcribed spacer 2, and large subunit ribosomal RNA
Rfam family: 5.8S ribosomal RNA (bases 1-120)
Source: RNAcentral
GAUGAAGAACGUAGCGAAGUGCGAUAAGUAGUGUGAAUUGCAGAAUUCCGUGAAUCAUCGAAUUUUUGAACGCAAAUUGCACUCUCUGGUAUUCCGGAGAGUAUGCCUGUUUGAGGGUCGAUAAAAUCAAAAUCGAUGUGUUGCUUUCUGACAUGUCGGAAUUGGGUUAUCUUUAACCUUUUUGGUUAAAGCAGCCUAAAAUUUUUAAUUAUACCUUCAGUAUACAAUUACGUACUUAGUAAUUUUUGUCGUAAUGUCUGAAGUUUUUUUUAUUAGACGUGACCAUCUAAUGGUCUCACGUCCAUAAUUUUUUUCAGUUAAUGACCUCAAAUCAGGUAAGAAUACCCGCUGAACUUAAGCAUAUCAAUAAGCGGAGG